RNAcentral lists this ribosomal RNA (253 nucleotides) under uncultured bacterium. Its description in RNAcentral is "partial 16S ribosomal RNA". It matches the Rfam family "Bacterial small subunit ribosomal RNA", at positions 524 to 776 of the family's 1533-position model. The record is from RNAcentral.
UACGGGGGGGGCAAGCGUUGUUCGGAUUUACUGGGCGUAAAGGGCUCGUAGGUGGCCAACUAAGUCAGACGUGAAAUCCCUCGGCUUAACCGGGGAACUGCGUCUGAUACUGGAUGGCUUGAGUUUGGGAGAGGGACGCGGAAUUCCAGGUGUAGCGGUGAAAUGCGUAGAUACCUGGAGGAACACCGGUGGCGAAGGCGGCGUUCUGGACUGCAACUGACACUGAGGAACGAAAGCCAGGGGAGCAAACGGG